This 309-nucleotide ribosomal RNA is filed under the name uncultured bacterium. RNAcentral describes it as "partial 16S ribosomal RNA". It matches the Rfam family "Bacterial small subunit ribosomal RNA", at positions 504 to 807 of the family's 1533-position model. The record is from RNAcentral.
AGAGACAGCAGCCGCCGCGGUAAUACAGAGGGUGCGAGCGUUAAUCGGAUUUACUGGGCGUAAAGCGUGCGUAGGCGGCUUCUUAAGUCGGAUGUGAAAUCCCUGAGCUUAACUUAGGAAUUGCAUUCGAUACUGGGAAGCUAGAGUAUGGGAGAGGAUGGUAGAAUUCCAGGUGUAGCGGUGAAAUGCGUAGAGAUCUGGAGGAAUACCGAUGGCGAAGGCAGCCAUCUGGCCUAAUACUGACGCUGAGGUACGAAAGCAUGGGGAGCAAACAGGAUUAGAUACCCGAGUAGUCCCUGUCUCUUAUAC